RNAcentral lists this ribosomal RNA (2900 nucleotides) under Klebsiella pneumoniae UCI 26. Its description in RNAcentral is "bacterial LSU rRNA". It matches the Rfam family "Bacterial large subunit ribosomal RNA". The record is from RNAcentral. Lineage: Bacteria; Pseudomonadati; Pseudomonadota; Gammaproteobacteria; Enterobacterales; Enterobacteriaceae.
UUAAGCGACUAAGCGUACACGGUGGAUGCCCUGGCAGUCAGAGGCGAUGAAGGACGUGCUAAUCUGCGAAAAGCGUCGGUAAGGUGAUAUGAACCGUUACAGCCGGCGAUGUCCGAAUGGGGAAACCCAGUGCAAUUCGUUGCACUAUCGUUAACUGAAUACAUAGGUUAACGAGGCGAACCGGGGGAACUGAAACAUCUAAGUACCCCGAGGAAAAGAAAUCAACCGAGAUUCCCCCAGUAGCGGCGAGCGAACGGGGAGCAGCCCAGAGUCUGAAUCAGCUUGUGUGUUAGUGGAACGGUCUGGAAAGUCCGACGGUACAGGGUGAUAGUCCCGUACACCAAAAUGCACAGGCUGUGAACUCGAAGAGUAGGGCGGGACACGUGGUAUCCUGUCUGAAUAUGGGGGGACCAUCCUCCAAGGCUAAAUACUCCUGACUGACCGAUAGUGAACCAGUACCGUGAGGGAAAGGCGAAAAGAACCCCGGCGAGGGGAGUGAAAAAGAACCUGAAACCGUGUACGUACAAGCAGUGGGAGCACCUUCGGGUGUGACUGCGUACCUUUUGUAUAAUGGGUCAGCGACUUAUAUUCUGUAGCAAGGUUAACCGUAUAGGGGAGCCGCAGGGAAACCGAGUCUUAACUGGGCGUUAAGUUGCAGGGUAUAGACCCGAAACCCGGUGAUCUAGCCAUGGGCAGGUUGAAGGUUGGGUAACACUAACUGGAGGACCGAACCGACUAAUGUUGAAAAAUUAGCGGAUGACUUGUGGCUGGGGGUGAAAGGCCAAUCAAACCGGGAGAUAGCUGGUUCUCCCCGAAAGCUAUUUAGGUAGCGCCUCGUGAAUUCAUCUUCGGGGGUAGAGCACUGUUUCGGCUAGGGGGUCAUCCCGACUUACCAACCCGAUGCAAACUACGAAUACCGAAGAAUGUUAUCACGGGAGACACACGGCGGGUGCUAACGUCCGUCGUGAAGAGGGAAACAACCCAGACCGCCAGCUAAGGUCCCAAAGUCAUGGUUAAGUGGGAAACGAUGUGGGAAGGCACAGACAGCCAGGAUGUUGGCUUAGAAGCAGCCAUCAUUUAAAGAAAGCGUAAUAGCUCACUGGUCGAGUCGGCCUGCGCGGAAGAUGUAACGGGGCUAAACCAUGCACCGAAGCUGCGGCAGCGACACUAUGUGUUGUUGGGUAGGGGAGCGUUCUGUAAGCCUGCGAAGGUGUGCUGUGAGGCAUGCUGGAGGUAUCAGAAGUGCGAAUGCUGACAUAAGUAACGAUAAAGCGGGUGAAAAGCCCGCUCGCCGGAAGACCAAGGGUUCCUGUCCAACGUUAAUCGGGGCAGGGUGAGUCGACCCCUAAGGCGAGGCCGAAAGGCGUAGUCGAUGGGAAACAGGUUAAUAUUCCUGUACUUGGUGUUACUGCGAAGGGGGGACGGAGAAGGCUAUGUUAGCCGGGCGACGGUUGUCCCGGUUUAAGCAUGUAGGCUGGUUGUCCAGGCAAAUCCGGAUAAUCAAGGCUGAGGUGUGAUGACGAGGUACUACGGUGCUGAAGUAACAAAUGCCCUGCUUCCAGGAAAAGCCUCUAAGCAUCAGGUAACAUUAAAUCGUACCCCAAACCGACACAGGUGGUCAGGUAGAGAAUACCAAGGCGCUUGAGAGAACUCGGGUGAAGGAACUAGGCAAAAUGGUGCCGUAACUUCGGGAGAAGGCACGCUGGUGUGUAGGUGAAGUCCCUGCGGAUGGAGCUGAGACCAGUCGAAGAUACCAGCUGGCUGCAACUGUUUAUUAAAAACACAGCACUGUGCAAACACGAAAGUGGACGUAUACGGUGUGACGCCUGCCCGGUGCCGGAAGGUUAAUUGAUGGGGUUAUCCGUAAGGAGAAGCUCUUGAUCGAAGCCCCGGUAAACGGCGGCCGUAACUAUAACGGUCCUAAGGUAGCGAAAUUCCUUGUCGGGUAAGUUCCGACCUGCACGAAUGGCGUAAUGAUGGCCAGGCUGUCUCCACCCGAGACUCAGUGAAAUUGAACUCGCUGUGAAGAUGCAGUGUACCCGCGGCAAGACGGAAAGACCCCGUGAACCUUUACUAUAGCUUGACACUGAACAUUGAGCCUUGAUGUGUAGGAUAGGUGGGAGGCUUUGAAGCGUGGACGCCAGUCUGCGUGGAGCCAACCUUGAAAUACCACCCUUUAAUGUUUGAUGUUCUAACGUUGGCCCCUGACCGGGGUUGCGGACAGUGUCUGGUGGGUAGUUUGACUGGGGCGGUCUCCUCCCAAAGCGUAACGGAGGAGCACGAAGGUUAGCUAAUCCUGGUCGGACAUCAGGAGGUUAGUGCAAUGGCAUAAGCUAGCUUGACUGCGAGCGUGACGGCGCGAGCAGGUGCGAAAGCAGGUCAUAGUGAUCCGGUGGUUCUGAAUGGAAGGGCCAUCGCUCAACGGAUAAAAGGUACUCCGGGGAUAACAGGCUGAUACCGCCCAAGAGUUCAUAUCGACGGCGGUGUUUGGCACCUCGAUGUCGGCUCAUCACAUCCUGGGGCUGAAGUAGGUCCCAAGGGUAUGGCUGUUCGCCAUUUAAAGUGGUACGCGAGCUGGGUUUAGAACGUCGUGAGACAGUUCGGUCCCUAUCUGCCGUGGGCGCUGGAGAAUUGAGGGGGGCUGCUCCUAGUACGAGAGGACCGGAGUGGACGCAUCACUGGUGUUCGGGUUGUCAUGCCAAUGGCACUGCCCGGUAGCUAAAUGCGGAAGAGAUAAGUGCUGAAAGCAUCUAAGCACGAAACUUGCCCCGAGAUGAGUUCUCCCUGAGACUUUAAGUCUCCUGAAGGAACGUUGAAGACGACGACGUUGAUAGGCCGGGUGUGUAAGCGCAGCGAUGCGUUGAGCUAACCGGUACUAAUGAACCGUGAGGCUUAACCUU